Molecule: ribosomal RNA, 921 nt
Filed under: uncultured bacterium
Lineage: Bacteria
Description: bacterial SSU rRNA
Rfam family: Bacterial small subunit ribosomal RNA
Source: RNAcentral
GCCGUGAAAGUCCGAGGCUCAACCUCGGAUCUGCGGUGGGUACGGGCAGACUAGAGUGAUGUAGGGGAGACUGGAAUUCCUGGUGUAGCGGUGAAAUGCGCAGAUAUCAGGAGGAACACCGAUGGCGAAGGCAGGUCUCUGGGCAUUUACUGACGCUGAGGAGCGAAAGCAUGGGGAGCGAACAGGAUUAGAUACCCUGGUAGUCCAUGCCGUAAACGUUGGGCACUAGGUGUGGGGGACAUUCCACGUUUUCCGCGCCGUAGCUAACGCAUUAAGUGCCCCCCCUGGGGAGUACGCCCGCAAGGCUAAAACUCAAAGGAAUUGACGGGGGCCCGCACAAGCGGCGGAGCAUGCGGAUUAAUUCGAUGCAACGCGAAGAACCUUACCAAGGCUUGACAUGUGCCAGACCGCCUCAGAGAUGGGGUUUCCCUUCGGGGCUGGUUCACAGGUGGUGCAUGGUUGUCGUCAGCUCGUGUCGUGAGAUGUUGGGUUAAGUCCCGCAACGAGCGCAACCCUCGUUCCAUGUUGCCAGCACGUAGUGGUGGGGACUCAUGGGAGACUGCCGGGGUCAACUCGGAGGAAGGUGGGGAUGACGUCAAAUCAUCAUGCCCCUUAUGUCUUGGGCUUCACGCAUGCUACAAUGGCCGGUACAAUGGGUUGCGAUACUGUGAGGUGGAGCUAAUCCCUAAAAGCCGGUCUCAGUUCGGAUUGGGGUCUGCAACUCGACCCCAUGAAGUCGGAGUCGCUAGUAAUCGCAGAUCAGCAACGCUGCGGUGAAUACGUUCCCGGGCCUUGUACACACCGCCCGUCAAGUCACGAAAGUUGGUAACACCCAAAGCCGAUGGCCUAACCACCUUGUGUGGGGGGAGUCGUCGAAGGUGGGACUGGCGAUUGGGACUAAGUCGUAACAAGGUAGCCGUA